Molecule: small nuclear RNA, 103 nt
Organism: Schistocerca nitens (vagrant locust)
Lineage: Eukaryota; Metazoa; Arthropoda; Insecta; Orthoptera; Acrididae
Source: RefSeq, a predicted model, not a curated record
CUCCCCUCAGCAGGAUAUAUUUUGUGACUGGAACAAUACAAAGAUGAUUAGCUGGAUCCGGUGCAAGGAUGACAUACAAAAUAAUGAAACAUUCCGCAUUUUU